GGCUCGAUGGCGGACGGUCCGCGCCUGCGGCUCAUAAGGGAUGGUGAAGAAAAACCAUGCAGGACACGCCCGUUCGACUCGGGCUCGAGCCA
This is a non-coding RNA of Mycena vulgaris, 92 nucleotides long. NCBI's taxonomy places the organism in Eukaryota, Fungi, Basidiomycota, Agaricomycetes, Agaricales, Mycenaceae. The record is from the annotation of a GenBank genome assembly.